UAGGGAAUCUUCGGCAAUGGACGAAAGUCUGACCGAGCAACGCCGCGUGAGUGAAGAAGGUUUUCGGAUCGUAAAACUCUGUUGUUAGAGAAGAACAAGGACGUUAGUAACUGAACGUCCCCUGACGGUAUCUAACCAGAAAGCCACGGCUAACUACGUGCCAGCAGCCGCGGUAAUACGUAGGUGGCAAGCGUUGUCCGGAUUUAUUGGGCGUAAAGCGAGCGCAGGCGGUUUCUUAAGUCUGAUGUGAAAGCCCCCGGCUCAACCGGGGGGGGUCAUUGGAAACUGGGAGACUUGAGUGCAGAAGAGGAAAGUGGAAUUCCAUGUGUAGCGGUGGAAUGCGUAGAUAUAUGGAGGAACACCAGUGGCGAAGGCGGCUCUCUGGUCUGUAACUGACGCUGAGGUUCGAAAGCGUGGGGAGCAAACAGG
Molecule: ribosomal RNA, 429 nt
Filed under: Gemmatimonadota bacterium
Lineage: Bacteria; Pseudomonadati; Gemmatimonadota
Description: Gemmatimonadetes bacterium partial 16S ribosomal RNA
Rfam family: Bacterial small subunit ribosomal RNA
Source: RNAcentral